This is a small nuclear RNA of Xenopus tropicalis (tropical clawed frog), 149 nucleotides long. Its record names the gene U4. It matches the Rfam family "U4 spliceosomal RNA". From Rfam's summary of the family: U4 small nuclear RNA (U4 snRNA) is a component of the major U2-dependent spliceosome. The record is from Ensembl. Lineage: Eukaryota; Metazoa; Chordata; Amphibia; Anura; Pipidae.
AUGCUUGCGCAGUGGCAGUAUCAUAGCCAAUGAGGUCCAACCGAGGCGUGAUUAUUGCUUUGAGCUCAAGCGGAAGCUUGAUAAAAGUGAAGGAGCUGUGUUCCCAUAAGCUGCUGGCUUAUUUUUUGUCAGGGGCUUUGCACAUGCUC